Molecule: ribosomal RNA, 501 nt
Filed under: uncultured bacterium
Lineage: Bacteria
Description: bacterial SSU rRNA
Rfam family: Bacterial small subunit ribosomal RNA
Source: RNAcentral
AAUCAACGCUGGCGGCGUGCCUAACACAUGCAAGUCGAACGAGAAAGUGACUUCGGUCACUGGAUAGUGGCGUCCGGGUGAGUAACACGUAGGUAAUCUACCUUCGGGUGGGGAAUAACUCGCCGAAAGGCGAGCUAAUACCGCAUAAUGCAGCGGCACCUAAUGGUGAUUAGUUGUUAAAGCGGGGGAUCUUCGGACCUCGCGCCUGAAGAGGAGCCUGCGGCAGAUUAGCUAGUUGGUUGAGGUAAUGGCUCACCAAGGCUUCGAUCUGUAGCUGGUCUGAGAGGACGGCCAGCCACACUGGCACUGACACACGGGCCAGACUCCUACGGGAGGCAGCAGUGGGGAAUUUUGGGCAAUGGGCGAAAGCCUGACCCAGCAACGCCGCGUGAAGGAGGAAAUCCUUCGGAUGUAAACUUCAUAAGUAAGGGAAGAAAGCUGCGGAUUGAAUAAAUCCGCAGUCCGACGGUACCUUACGUAAGCCACGGCUAACUACGUGCC